CAAGUACAAUUUCACACAGGUUUUGAGGAAAUAUUUGGCCACACUCAACUUGGGCAUGAAAACAUUUUCUACUGCACGCGCCUGAAGCGGAAGUCUAAAACAGAAGUUAAUGCGAUAGCACAUGUUUGUUUGUAGGAAGUGUUGUUACAGCUCUCAUUAGAUCUGUAAAGGGCUCUCUUUUUAGGAAUUGAGAAGAAGGAGGAGGACAGAAGGAGAGAUAGCUACUGAGAUUUCCAUGAACUGACACCUGGACCCAAAGCCUCAGCCAGGGCAUUCCACUGUUACCCCCAUCUGCCUGCAGUCGGGGCAGCCAUGGACAACAAAACUCAUCCCAGAGAGGGAGUGAGCAGAGUGUGAGAGAGUACGGGGAGUCAGGGUGUGUGCUCUGCCCUACACGACAACUACAGUGAGGCACGCAGGAAGAGGAAGAAAGAGACAGAGACCAGAAAACAGAACUGAAUGAAUGAAUGAAAAGAAACAACAGAUGAAAGAACAACUGAAUAAGAAUGAGCAAGUGAACAAACAAAACGCAGCAAGAGAGGAAACAAACAAAAGAACAAACCAAAAGAAAAAUGGCCGUUUCAGUCGGGUGGACACUAAAACGCUCAUCCUGUCCUAUAAUGCCUUGCUGAUUUCCCCUCUCAGUGUCCUCCUCCCUCACUGUCAACAGAGCUAAAAUUACAGUGGUGCUUUGAAACAUACAGGUUCUUCAUCUGACCCUGACCAGUCCAGCCUGAUACUACAGGAGGAAGCCCUAAUCAAAGAAACAACAAUCACUUAGGACAGCCAUUAAAGGUCCGUUUUUGGCAUGUCCCAGAGCUCCUGUUAGAACCCGUGCUGACAGACAGUAUGACAGAGCUCAAAGAAGAAAGCAGGUGGCAGCAGAAAGCUCAGAGAUCUUACCUUCACAUUGAUACCAGCAAACUCUUUCUCUGCCCAGGUGAUCUGUGAAUUGUACUGCUAAUGUGGGGUUGGGGAGGAAGAAGCAAACAAAGAGAAAAUCAAACUAAGAACAAAAUGAAUAUUUUCUUUACUCUUCCACCACUGUUCACCGAUGAAGCACCUAAGAAUCUUCUCUCCACCAAAGUUUUGAUAAUUAAAGAGAUAGCUCACCCAAAAAUCUAAAUCCUGUCAAUAAAGUCAAUGAAACACUGCAAUUUGCAAUGAUAAUUUUCCUCUUCAGUGGGUAGAACAUUUGCUUUGUUCUGAAACAGGGACUUAAAUUGAUGCAAUUCAAUGAGGAUGAGUCCACCUCAUUAAGACGAUCCAAGAUCAACUGUUUUGUGCAGAUCGGGGGAUUGUAUCAUGAAGCCGGAUUAGCUGGCUAGCCACGUAAGUUUCAGUUUAGUUUGCACCAAUCCUGGGUUUUAGGUUUCAUGAAAGUGGCUUGGCUUUUAGUGGUGUUCAAUGCCAUAGUAACUUACACUCCACAACA
Long non-coding RNA from Carassius gibelio (silver crucian carp), 1435 nucleotides. RefSeq lists it as uncharacterized. The record is from RefSeq and is a predicted model, not a curated record. The transcript is spliced from 3 exons. Lineage: Eukaryota; Metazoa; Chordata; Actinopteri; Cypriniformes; Cyprinidae.